UACGGAGGAUGCAAGCGUUAUCCGGAAUGAUUGGGCGUAAAGCGUCCGCAGGUGGCGAUGUAAGUCUGCUGUUAAAGAGUGAGGCUCAACCUCAUAAGAGCAGUGGAAACUACAUGGCUAGAGUGCGUUCGGGGCAGAGGGAAUUCCUGGUGUAGCGGUGAAAUGCGUAGAGAUCGGGAGGAACACCCGUAGCGAAGGCGGCCGACUGGACCACACCUGACGCUGAGGCGCGAAGGCCAGGGGAGCGAACGGG
RNAcentral lists this ribosomal RNA (253 nucleotides) under uncultured bacterium. Its description in RNAcentral is "partial 16S ribosomal RNA". It matches the Rfam family "Bacterial small subunit ribosomal RNA", at positions 524 to 776 of the family's 1533-position model. The record is from RNAcentral.